Molecule: ribosomal RNA, 911 nt
Filed under: uncultured Bacteroidota bacterium
Lineage: Bacteria; Pseudomonadati; Bacteroidota
Description: bacterial SSU rRNA
Rfam family: Bacterial small subunit ribosomal RNA
Source: RNAcentral
GGAUCCCGACUUUCAUUCUGGAUCAUGAUGAACGCUAGCUACAGGCUUAACACAUGCAAGUCGAGGGGCAGCGGGAUUGAAGCUUGCUUCAAUUGCCGGCGACCGGCGCACGGGUGAGUAACGCGUAUCCAACCUUCCGUACACUCAGGGAUAGCCUUUCGAAAGAAAGAUUAAUACCUGAUGGUAUCUUAAGCACACAUGUAAUUAAGAUUAAAGAUUUAUCGGUGUACGAUGGGGAUGCGUUCCAUUAGGUAGUAGGCGGGGUAACGGCCCACCUAGCCAACGAUGGAUAGGGGUUCUGAGAGGAAGGUCCCCCACAUUGGAACUGAGACACGGUCCAAACUCCUACGGGAGGCAGCAGUGAGGAAUAUUGGUCAAUGGACGAGAGUCUGAACCAGCCAAGUAGCGUGAAGGAUGAAGGUCCUACGGAUUGUAAACUUCUUUUAUAAGGGAAUAAACCCUCCCACGUGUGGGAGCUUGUAUGUACCUUAUGAAUAAGCAUCGGCUAACUCCGUGCCAGCAGCCGCGGUAAUACGGAGGAUACGAGCGUUAUCCGGAUUUAUUGGGUUUAAAGGGAGCGCAGACGGGUCGUUAAGUCAGCUGUGAAAGUUUGGGGCUCAACCUUAAAAUUGCAGUUGAUACUGGCGUCCUUGAGUGCGGUUGAGGUGUGCGGAAUUCGUGGUGUAGCGGUGAAAUGCUUAGAUAUCACGAAGAACUCCGAUUGCGAAGGCAGCACACUAAUCCGUAACUGACGUUCAUGCUCGAAAGUGUGGGUAUCAAACAGGAUUAGAUACCCUGGUAGUCCACACGGUAAACGAUGGAUACUCGCUGUUGGCGAUAUACUGUCAGCGGCUUAGCGAAAGCGUUAAGUAUCCCACCCGGGGAGUAUUUACGCACCGGAGCCAGUCUAA